UACGGGGGGAGCAAGCGUUGUUCGGAUUUACUGGGCGUAAAGGGCGCGUAGGCGGCCACCGCAAGUCAAUUGUGAAAUCUCGGAGCUCAACUCCGAAACUGCACUUGAUACUGCCUUGCUGGAGUACUGGAGAGGAGAUUGGAAUUUACGGUGUAGCAGUGAAAUGCGUAGAUAUCGUAAGGAAGACCAGUGGCGAAGGCGAAUCUCUGGACAGUUACUGACACUGAGGCACGAAGGCCAGGGGAGCAAACGGG
RNAcentral lists this ribosomal RNA (254 nucleotides) under uncultured bacterium. RNAcentral describes it as "partial 16S ribosomal RNA". It matches the Rfam family "Bacterial small subunit ribosomal RNA", at positions 524 to 776 of the family's 1533-position model. The record is from RNAcentral.